CCGGGAGUUACACACCAACGAAUUUCUAAAGAAAGCCUAACAAAAAGGCAAAUAAAGCAAGAGGAUUCUCACAGACUCACUGCUGCAGGGCUUUAAAAUCUCAGCCUCAUCUAUUGAACACUAGCCCAGCUUCCCUCAACCCCUCAAAGCAGCAAGAUUUAUGCAAGCCUCCUGUGACAGCAGAGCUUCUGUCCCAUCAGUAGCCUUAUCAAAUCUGUCCUAUAGCCCCAUCAGACCUGAGCGAACACCUGCUUUCCAGGUGCAAGACCAUAGAGGCUGAGAAGGAAGAGAAGUCAGCAACAGAAAUAACCUCACUAACAGCAAGACCCCCAGAGAAGCUAAAAACAUUCCAGGCAGGGCUCACAACAGCUCUCAGAGCAGAAUUCCCAAGGCAUCACUUAUGGUUUCUACAAGAGCUUUUGCCUUGCUGUUCCUUCCCCUACAUGCGACCUUUCAGCCCCAGUGAGUCCAGAGGCUUUCUGCAGAGAGAACUGAGUCAGACUGUGAAGAAGAGGCUUUGGGCAGCUAAGAGUUCCAUGUGGAACUCCACUUUGUGAAGACAAGCUUAGUUAAAACAAGAUGAUGCAUUUGUGGAGUCACUUAACUGGGCACACAAAAACUGCAAAUGUCUCAGCAGCUCCAAAGCAGAGGAAGGAUGAAGGGUGGCUGCCAACCCCACUGCUUUGUGGAAGUUCCACACCUUGCUGAGGACACCUCAUGCCUCUCAUAGGAUCCUGACCUGCUGACGUACAGACAGAAUAUGUGAGAAAUACAGGAAUGAUAUAUCCCAGAUCAAACUGCUUCUUAAGCUCGUGUUAUGGAAGAAAAAGACAUAUGCAACAUAAUGGCAGCUCACUGCAGCUGAAGUAAUAUAAGUCAUAAGACCCCCAUUUCAAGAGGGUCCUGCUGCAUACCCAGAAGGAAGGAAUACUGCACAGAGAAGCUAAGAGGAAUUUAAACAGACAGACCUUGCUGGACUUUCCUACUCAGUCUAUUAACAUUAGAUCAUACCCUUUCUGCCCAGUUAUUUUUCUCCAUGGCUGUCCGUACUUCAUUGAACCCAAGCCUAAAAAUGGGCAGUUUCCCCGUAUCUUUGGGUCUUUAUUCUGAAGGCUCCGUGUAAAACUGUAAUCAAAUAAAUCUGUAUACCUUUUC
RNAcentral lists this long non-coding RNA (1155 nucleotides) under Homo sapiens (human). RNAcentral's name for it is "HSALNT0086623". Lineage: Eukaryota; Metazoa; Chordata; Mammalia; Primates; Hominidae. The record is from RNAcentral.